UUAACGUUUAAGUUUUUAUUCAGACAUUACACCAAAACACGAGUUUAAAAAAGGGUCUUCUGGCGGGUAGACUCCAACCGUCGGGCUACUAACCCGACAGUUGGGCGCUUGCGCGCUGCCCCACCGAAGCAACGUGGACAGGUUCACAGUGGAUGUAAAGGAUAGGGGUCGGACUUGAACGUCCGUUUCUCCUAAUGAUCCUUCCGCAGGUUCACCUACGGAAA
RNAcentral lists this unclassified non-coding RNA (224 nucleotides) under uncultured fungus. RNAcentral describes it as "sequence contains ITS1". Lineage: Eukaryota; Fungi. The record is from RNAcentral.